CAUAAAUUGAAAACCUAACUCAAACCAAAGGCAACUUGUGCUUCUAAAAAAAUAAAUUGAUUGAAUCAUACAUAUUGGAAAUAACAGAGUUUAUACAUGGCAAUGAAUACAAAAUUAAAUCAGUUAAUUUCAUAAAACAGCAGAUUGUUCCGAGGCAAAGCGAUUAAAUUCACCGAGAAAGAGGAAGUCAUUCUGUAUCCAGAACUUCAUCUUCAUCUUCUUCCAGGAUGUAAACCAAUGCACGCUUUCUUGCAGCAAAAACACAUGCUACGCCUCUAGAUGCACUAACUGCCAAUGGAGCUACUACAGAAUGAGGAAUGUAGCGAACCUUUUCAUUCUCCAUUUGCAGCUGCACAACAGCAUCCUUAAGUUGAUGCGAUUUCCAAAUGUUCAGCAAACUGGAUCUUGAAAGAGAUAUAAAUGGAAGGUCUCUAGCUUGCACAACCAUCAUACAAGCAUCUCCAGAACUUUCAGAAGAUGUGACAGUCCCAUUUAAUAGCAAGACAAUGUGAGUAUCCUUAUAUAAAGACAGAUCGACGCAGUCAUAACCAGCAGGAAUAGACAACAAUACAGCUUCCAAUGAUGUAUGGCUGUUCUUUGAACUUCUUGAGUCACACAUAAAUCCUCUCAUUAUGCCUAUACAAUUUGAAAUAUUUGAAGAAGGUUCUUUUGGUACUUGGAAGCAUGUGUAAUCAACAAGGCCAUGUUGACCAGUCUUAUAAGAUGAAACUAUUUGGGAGACUUCCUCAUAGUAUGAUAUUGACAUAGGAAUUGUCAUGGACAUAGAUGCUGAUGAAGAUGGAAGUGGAAACAGUGGCAGCAAAUCCUCACAGAGUAUUUUUCUUGAGAUUGUCGUGAAGGGCAUCUGAAAAGCCUCCUUGAAGCUGUACUCCAUUUCUUGAAAUUCUUUAGCUAAUGUCCUUCGCAGAUAUUCAAUAUCUGAAAAUCCUCCAAAAUGAACUAAUUCUUUGACUCUUUGCAUUGUUUCCGAGCCUACUUCAAUAUUAUGAACUUCAGAAAGUUCCAGAAACUGCCUAACUGGAUCUUGAUCAUAUAAGAACUUCAAGAAUGUGACAACAAGUUCACUGUUAUAUGGCAGAAGCUGAUCACUUGGUUCUUGCAUAAGAAGCUUUAUACACUUAAGAAGCCAAUUGAAGAAAUUUGAAAACUGCUGCUCCACAGAUGCAAGGACCCUCAUAAACCGUUCAAUUUGUACUAACAUCAUGCCAGAUUUUUCUGUCGCAUUAUUGAUAAGCAUCUCGUCCAAACCAAUACCUUGGUAGCGUGCACGCCAUCUCGAAAGUGCUCUUAGUUCUCCCAUCCUAAAUGCAAUAAUUUCUGCAGCAGGCUGCAUGUGAUCAAGAACAAUAUGCUGAAGUUCUUUUCCAGCACCACAAACAACCUUUGACACACGCUUCACACCCACUUCACCAAGAGUAUUAACCAGAAAUUGGUGUACUGCCGGACUAGUCCGAGCACCACCCAAAACGCUUAGAAACUCCUCUUGGGGACUUGAGUCCAGGGCAUGGUCAAUAAUCAAAGUAGAUAGGGAAUCAAACUUUUCAUGAAACAUGCGCAUGGCAUCUGACCACUGCUUCAUCAUAACUGAUAAUGAUGCCCGGAUAACCUCAGUUAACUCCUCAAUGUUAGAAGCUUGUUGGGCCAACUGAUGGAGCUCAUUUUUCCUAUUAAAAAAUAUAGAUGUAUCAAGCACUAAGCCAUGUGAGCCAUGCAUACCAUGCCCAGCCAUUUGACUUUGUUUUGAUUCAACCAUAUUUCCAUUAAGUUCUCCUGAGCACAUGACAAUCAAACGGCAAAGGUCUUUUGACAAAGCAACCUUGUAGGUGGAAGCAUUCAUUAACUGGCAAGUAGAUUGUUCAUCCACAAAGGGUGCAGGAACAGAAAACUUGUGUAUGUUAAUUUUUCCUAUUGGAAAUAUUCCAAAUAUACUGAAGCAAAUGCUUCCAUCAUUGUCUGCGCUACACAGAACAUUAAAUCGUUGGUAUGAAGAAUUUGACAACUCUUGAUAUGAAUCUUCAUUGUCAUCCAUGAAACCAGCAUCUCCACACACCACACCAGGCGUCCGAGGAGGCCGAGGAGCAGGAGGGAAGAAACGAGGAGUACGGUCUUCAUAAGUUGAGAAGUUAUGAGAACCAUCCUUAUUCAAUUGUCCGUCCUCCUCCCAGUUAAGACACACAACUGCAACCGCAUGAGACUUCAAGCUUCUCAAUAACUUCCCAUUCUCAACAUCAUGCAAGGAAAUGGUUCCAUCUUCAAGCCCAACAGCUAUUGCUUUACCAUCAGGACGCCAACACAAGGAUGUAAUACACCUUCCAGGGGAUAUGGUCCACAACCUCUGCCAGUUGAAUCUAUGAAGCAAAAUCUUAGAAUCCUCUGUCACCAUGGCCAGUAAAUCCUUCUCUGGGUUCCACUCCGCAAUUUUGAUCUGAGAGGUGACGGGUUUGUCAAAUUGAAGCUGAAAUGGAAGCAGCCGCUGCUCCUCAUCUGUUUCCAUGACUAUCACUGAAGCUUUAACAAGUACUGGCACUUGAAGAUGAUAAUGAGACGUUAUAGAAGGAAAAUUUUAGUAAGAAAGAAAUGCAAAUGAAAUUUGCAUUAUAAAAACCCUAAAGAAAGUAGAAAAGCUGCUCAAAGUGUCGAAUGGUGAGGGAGAAGGUGCCAAAAUGGCGACAGCGACGUCGUUUCGUUUGUUGACUGGAUGUACGAGUAGAAGAAGAGCAAAGAGCUACCUGGUUGCUGCUAAAAUAGCUGACGCGCCCGAACUCGAACAUGAAGCGGAGAAAGA
Molecule: unclassified non-coding RNA, 2806 nt
Filed under: Hevea brasiliensis (rubber tree)
Lineage: Eukaryota; Viridiplantae; Streptophyta; Magnoliopsida; Malpighiales; Euphorbiaceae
Source: RNAcentral